RNAcentral lists this ribosomal RNA (533 nucleotides) under uncultured bacterium. Its description in RNAcentral is "bacterial SSU rRNA". It matches the Rfam family "Bacterial small subunit ribosomal RNA", at positions 777 to 1304 of the family's 1533-position model. The record is from RNAcentral.
AAUAGAUACCCCGGGUAGUCCAUGCCGUAAACGUUGGGCACUAGGUGUGGGGCUCAUUCCACGAGUUCCGUGCCGCAGCAAACGCAUUAAGUGCCCCGGCCUGGGGAGUACGGCCGCAAGGCUAAAACUCAAAGGAAUUGACGGGGGGCCCGCACAAGCGGCGGAGCAUGCGGAUUAAUUCGAUGCAACGCGAAGAACCUUACCAAGGCUUGACAUGCACGGGAAGCCACCAGAGAUGGUGGUCUCUUUGGACACUCGUGCACAGGUGGUGCAUGGUUGUCGUCAGCUCGUGUCGUGAGAUGUUGGGUUAAGUCCCGCAACGAGCGCAACCCUGUCCCAUGUUGCCAGCGGGUUAUGCCGGGGACUCAUGGGAGACUGCCGGGGUCAACUCGGAGGAAGGUGGGGAUGACGUCAAAUCAUCAUGCCCCUUAGUGUCUUGGGCUUCACGCAUGCUACAAUGGCCGGUAACAACGGGCUGCGAUACCGUAAGGUGGAGCGAAUCCCAAAACGCCGGUCUCAGUUCGGAUUGGGGU